RNAcentral lists this ribosomal RNA (454 nucleotides) under uncultured bacterium. RNAcentral's name for it is "bacterial SSU rRNA". It matches the Rfam family "Bacterial small subunit ribosomal RNA", at positions 28 to 524 of the family's 1533-position model. The record is from RNAcentral.
GACGAACGCUGGCGGUGUGCUUCACACAUGCAAGUCGAACGAGGUAGCAAUACCUAGUGGCGGACGGGUGAGUAACGCGUGGGAAUCUGCCCAAGGUGGGGGAUAACUAGCCGAAAGGUUAGCUAAUACCGCAUAUGCCGUGAGGUAAAAGGAGUAAUCCGCCCCUGGAUGAGCCUGCGUCCGAUUAGCUAGUUGGUAAGGUAAAGGCUUACCAAGGCUACGAUCGGUAGCUGGUCUGAGAGGAUGAUCAGCCACAAUGGGACUGAGACACGGCCCAUACUCCUACGGGAGGCAGCAGUGGGGAAUUUUACGCAAUGGGGGAAACCCUGACGUAGCGACACCGCGUGAGCGAAGAAGCCCUUUGGGGUGUAAAGCUCUGUCAGCAGGAACGAAAAAAAAUGACGGUACCUGCAGAGGAAGCAUCGGCUAACUACGUGCCAGCAGCCGCGGUAAU